UCUUCCCGGAACAGAUACAUUAUUUGCGUUUGGUAAGUGUAGACAAAGGCCAACCAGGUAAUCAACCCGGAAAUGGAAUUGGAAUACCUUCUAGGCCGGGGGACGGAAGAGACCAAAACCCGCAUCACUUUCCAUACGACUGCUUUCACCCUCGAGUUUGCGUGGCCAGUCGACUAAAACCUUGGGAUGUAUGAUGUCCCAUCUCUUGCUACACAGGGGCAGCAACAUUUAGUGGAAAUAUGAGAUCAGGGAGUCAAGCUCAUAUGGUGGGGAGGACAACGAAUUUGCAUCCCGAAGUAUUUAGCUGUAGCCCUUUCAAGCCCAUGAAUAUCGGGUAGAGGCGCUUAUUGAUCGGGAAAGCUACAGAUAAUUGUGUCUCCCCCCAGAAGACUAGUUUACUGCAUAAAAUCCAU
RNAcentral lists this small RNA (413 nucleotides) under Histoplasma capsulatum var. duboisii H88. RNAcentral describes it as "Histoplasma capsulatum H88 hypothetical RNA". The record is from RNAcentral. Lineage: Eukaryota; Fungi; Ascomycota; Eurotiomycetes; Onygenales; Ajellomycetaceae.